AAUGGUUUUUUGUUUAAAUGUUUUUUCGCCUAAGGAUGGGUCUGCGGCCGAUUAGGUAGUUGGUUAGGUAAUGGCUUACCAAGCCGUUGAUCGGUACGGGUUGUGAGAGCAAGAGCCCGGAGAUGGAACCUGAGACAAGGUUCCAGGCCCUACGGGGUGCAGCAGGCGCGAAACCUCCGCAAUGUGAGAAAUCGCGACGGGGGGAUCCCAAGUGCCAUUCUUAACGGGAUGGCUUUUCAUUAGUGUAAAGAGCUUUUGGAGUAAGAGCUGGGCAAGACCGGUGCCAGCCGCCGCGGUAACACCGGCAGCUCUAGUGGUAACAAUUUUUAUUGGGCCUAAAGCGUCCGUAGCCGGUUUAAUAAGUCUCUGGUGAAAUCCUGUAGCUUAACUGUGGGAAUUGCUGGAGAUACUAUUAGACUUGAGACCGGGAGAGGUUAGAGGUACUCCCAGGGUAGAGGUGAAAUUCUGUAAUCCUGGGAGGACCGCCUGUUGCGAAGGCGUCUAACUGGAACGGUUCUGACGGUGAGGGACGAAAGUUAGGGGCGCGAACCGGAUUAGAUACCCGGGUAGUCCUAACUGUAAACGAUGCGGACUUGGUGUUGGGGUGGCUUUGAGCUGCUCCAGUGCCGAAGGGAAGCUGUUAAGUCCGCCGCCUGGGAAGUACGGUCGCAAGACUGAAACUUAA
RNAcentral lists this ribosomal RNA (685 nucleotides) under uncultured archaeon. RNAcentral describes it as "bacterial SSU rRNA". It matches the Rfam family "Archaeal small subunit ribosomal RNA", at positions 174 to 859 of the family's 1478-position model. The record is from RNAcentral.